RNA transcript from Archocentrus centrarchus (flier cichlid), 8976 nucleotides. RefSeq lists it as uncharacterized. NCBI's taxonomy places the organism in Eukaryota, Metazoa, Chordata, Actinopteri, Cichliformes, Cichlidae. The transcript has 2 exons. The record is from RefSeq and is a predicted model, not a curated record.
AAUGAUUAUGGGCAUGAGUAAAUAGUUUUAAAAUGUUCAAAUAACUAAUAGUUCAUGUACAGUUUUUAUAAAGUUCAUAAGUGAGUUGUGUUAAAACAAUAGUGGACCAAAUCAUUUUGUUUGUUAAUAAAGUAGUAUGUCACUUUAAUUAGUUUCACUGCACUUUCACGCAUUUUGUGUUGUGUACAACCUAUCCUCACUGAGCAUCAGAAUGUCAGUCUUGACUUGUGUUUAUUUGUAUUGGUUGUUUGUGACCUAUGUAACCAAUCAAGGGAUUGUGGGGGCGGGAUGUGAGGUUGACCUAGUAGAGGGCAGGUGCGCGAGAGGUACAGAGAUGCCACAGACGUACAUCAAACGUGUGUGUUGACCGCUGAUCGUAUCGGAGUAUAAGUGCCUUUCAUCGUGGUGAAUGCAGAGUUUGCCAUUCUGUGUUAAGGACUUUGAAACAUCCGAAGGUAAAUAUUCCUUUGAAAGUUGUAUUGAACUGUUUCUGUCAGAUGCAGUAUGUUAAAAUGGAGAUGCUAAUCGCGGAUAGCAUAUUAGCUUGCUAGCCGUGUCGCACAUGUAUAAUAUAGUAGCUGUCAAAGUUGCUAAGUUGUUAAUGUGUGCCGAUGCUGUUAGUAGUUUAAAUGAGAGCGAUUAUAAAGCAAGACUAAGAUAUUUUAUAUGCUCGCUAACGUGUAGGACCAGGAGACUAUCCUUGGACUUUUUUUUCCCCCUUGCUACGUGACGGAGCAUAGAAGUAUCCAGGAGUCGCCAUCUUGCUUGGAUUUUGUGUCGGAGACCGAAGCCGUUGCCGGACGCCCUCGUUGCCCUCACGAAUGAUUCCCUAAAGGUUACCAGCGACUAACAUUAACCAGGUUGCUGACUGACUGACUGCUCGAGGUUGUGAGUACUCAAAUUGCACGUGCUUAUUAUUUUAUUGUUUUGUUCUGCUUGCUUUGCAAGCGAAAGGGUCAUAAAGUUUCUGACCACACCGCACCCCAGCGUCGACACAGGCCUGCACCGUUUGUUUUAUUUUAUUUUAAAGGACUGAUAUUGAGUUGCAGCUUGAGUGUGUGAGUGUGUGUGUGAGCUGCAGGACUAUUGUUUUCACAAGUAAUUUGAUUUAUUUACAGGUGUUUUGAAGAGACCCUAAUUGAAGUAAUUAUUUUGUACUCUUAUUGUGUUUAUUUGAAGUUGCAAAUAUUAAUUUUGAUUACUAAAUUCUAUAUUUUUGAGGUUAAGAAUCCUGUGUGUGUUAUUUCUUUCGUGUAAGGAUUUUCCCCUGUUUAUUAAAUUUGAACCAGAGAAACGUGUUUCAACACUGGAUGAUAACAAUUCUUAGUAGGAUUAAAGGCCAAAGGGUUGUAUUCUGCUAAGUGGAGGCACCAAUCACCAAAUUUCUUAUCAAUACAGGUUAGUACGGAAGCCAAUAAAUUAAAGAACCCAGGGCCCCGCCCAUAGUACUACAAUACCCCUGUCUUUAAAUGAUGUUUACCUAUUAGCUACAUGGGUCGGGUGCUACACAAAUUGGAGGCACCGCUGGGAUAUUUUCCCUAAUAAGGUAUAUAUUUUAAUGUCAAGUAGUUGAGACUCUUUCUCAUGGUCAAGCCUGCAAGCACAUAAGACAAAAUAAUGGCAAGUUUGAGUAAUUCCUCGCAGUUGGAGUUAAGUAACUGGUGUAGAGGGGAGGGUAUAGAGCUAACACAUGCCCUUAUGGUACUUGGAGUCCCCGAAGAUGACGACAUCUCUUGCAUUGAGGAAGCACUGGAAACCAUAAAAGCACUGGGAAAAGUAAGGGUAAGAGGAAAAAUGUUUGACGCCAAACACCAGGCAUUAAGCGUGCUUUGCGAAUGUCGUGAGCCAAUCGAUCCCUCUAGAGUCCCAUGUGAAGUCUUCUUGCCUGCCAGGGGGCAUGGCUGGAAGAUAGUGGUAGCUCAGCGCAAAGAGAGCAGUGCAGAUGAGUUCUCAGAGAAACUAGCACAGUUCCUCCAAGAACAAGGAAAAACAAUGGAAGACAUUUAUCCAAUGUGUGGUUCCGCCACAGAAGUGAAUAGCACUCCAGAGUCUAUUAUUCGCGCUGUAGGGGAAGUGUUGCAUAAAACCACAAAACCCACUGAAAGCAACAACUAUAGACGUUUAAGGACUUUUUCUGGAAUCAGCCCUGUCCCACUAGGUGAGGAGUGUUUGGAUAACUGGCUUGAACAGGCCAAGCUUAUGGUAGAAGAGUAUGAGUGUUCAGAAAAAGAGAAAAGACGCAGGAUAGUUGAGAGUCUUAAAGGUCCGGCUUUGGAGAUCCUUCAGGCUGUACGCUUGUCGAAUCCUGAUGCUAGUCAUUUGGAGUACAUAGAAGCAAUAGAAAGUACUUUUGGAACCUCAGAGUCAGGAGAAGACCUUUAUUUGUCUUUCAGGUCUCUUCGCCAGGAGUCUGGUGAGCCCUUGUCAGAGUUUUUGCGCAGACUUGAAAGAUCCCUCUGUAAAGUAAUUAAGAGAGGUGGUCUCCCAGUUAGCGCCGCCAACAAAGCUAGGCUUGAGCAGCUUAUAAAAGGAGCAACUGAGUCUGAUCUCAUGUUGCUUAAGUUGAACUUGCGAGAGAGGAGGCAUGAUCCUCCUGCUUUCCUAACCUUGCUCAAAGAAAUUCGUGCGGAGGAAGAACGUGAAGCCGCCAGGCACAGUCUCAGCAAACCUGUGCACCACCAGCGUGUGCAUGCAGUGCAGGUGGAAAAGGAAAACGAGUUGGCAAAUAGUCAGCAACUUGAACUUCGAGCUGAGAUUGAAGAAUUAAAAUCCGCCCUGAGUGAGCAAGUGAACAAAUUGUCUAAAUCAGAAAAUGAUAAAACUACAAAAAAGUCCAAGGAUAAGAAGAAAGUAAGAGCUGAGUCAAACCCCGAAAUACAGUCUUUAAAGAAAGAACUGAAAGCUCUAAAGGAACAGAUAAGUGUGAUGACUGUGAAAACCAAAUCAGGCUCAACCGCAACAGCGAACUAUUCUAGCCACAAAACAGCUGCAAAUCCACAGUGUGCUACUUCUAGAAGCCAGUUUGUAGCAGAGUCUUCUGAAUAUUUCUGCUAUAGAUGUGGUGAAAAUGGGCACAUUGCAUCAAAAUGCACAGCUCCAGCAAAUACACAGAAGGUCAUAAAAAAGCUCAUUCGCCAAGUGCGCGGAGCAACUUGUGGACCAAAAGAAUCCAGCAAAGGUUCCGAUGAAUCUAUUGCUAGAGUCAAUAAAGUCCAUAUUCCAGAGACAGACACUAACUUACCUGAAGGUCUGGUAGGUCCAUCAUCUGUGGUAAAAAUAAAAGUUAAUGAACUUCCUUGUGAUGCCCUCAUGGAUUCUGGUUCCACUGUAACCAUUAUCUUUGAAGAGUGGUACAAGAAACAUCUGUCACAUGUCCCUAUUCGUCCUAUUUCUCAUCUAGCUAUAUGGGGUCUCGCUGAUUCAGAGUACCCUUACAGAGGUUAUGUGGUAGUGGACAUGGAGUUCCCAGAGGACUUGGCAGGAGUAAAAGGGCCAAUCACUGUUCUUGCUCUUGUGUGUCCCGAGCCACAACAUUGCAGCCAAGUGCCUGUCAUUGUAGGCACUAAUGCCUUUCUCUUCCGCAGACUGUGGGAGCUUUCAAAAGAAAGUGGCAGUCAGAACAAAGUACACUCUUUGAGAAUACAAGCAGUCUAUGAAAAGCUACAGACACAAACCCUGAACCCCCAGUCAAAAGCUAUUGAUGAGGCAGUUGGGCAAGUGAAAUGGCAAGGCCCAGGCCUACUGUCUAUAGCUCCUGGUGAGAAGUGUUAUGCCACCUGUAAAGUGGAGAAACCGACUUUCUCUUCUCAAGACAUUAUUCUUGUUGAAGCUCCUGUGACGCAGCAUCUUCCGGCUGGUGUAUUUGUACAGCCCGGAGUGCUCCCUAACAGAGACAUUGACUCCAAUAGUUUCACUGUCCUUUUGCACAAUGAAUCACAAAAACCCACGUCUAUUCAGGUUGGCACUGUCAUUGCAGAAAUGUAUGCAGUAGAUACUGUAGCCUUACCUCAGCCUUCCAACUCAACCACUGACCUCCUUGACCCCGAGCUCUUUGAUUUUGGAGACUCACCAGUUCCUGAGGAGUGGAAGAAACGGCUUAGCCGAAAACUUGCUGAGAGACGAAAUGCUUUCUCUCUCAAUGAAUGGGAUGUUGGUUUGGCACGAGGAGUUGAGCACCAAAUACGUGUCAGUGAUCCCACUCCUUUUAGAGAACGAUCACGUCGCUUAGCCCCAGCUGAUAUUGACGAUGUAAGGCGACACAUACAGCAGCUACUGGCUGCUGGCAUUCUGAAAGAGUCCCGAAGUCCUUAUGCCUCACCCAUUGUGGUAGUGCGCAAAAAGAAUGGAACCAUCAGGAUCUGCAUCGAUUAUCGGACCCUGAACAGUCGCACUAUACCGGAUCAGUACACAAUGCCGCGCAUUGAUGAUGCCUUGGAUUGCCUCACAGGCAGCCGAUGGUUCUCAGUACUGGAUCUUCGGAGUGGAUAUUAUCAGAUAGCCAUGGCUGAAGAGGAUAAGGAGAAGACCGCAUUCAUCUGUCCCCUCGGAUUUUAUCAAUUUGAGAGGAUGCCCCAGGGCAUCACUGGAGCCCCAGCCACUUUUCAGCGGCUUAUGGAGAAAGCCGUGGGUGAUAUGCACCUUCUCCAAGUCAUUGUCUAUCUUGAUGACAUUAUUGUCUUUGGAAAGACUCUUGAGGAGCAUGAACAACGAUUGCUGAAAGUUUUGGAUCGCUUGCAAGAGGUUGGCCUAAAAGUGUCAAUUGACAAAUGCCAGUUUUGUCAACCAAGUGUUAAAUAUGUGGGCCACAUUGUCUCAGAAUCUGGUAUUGCCACUGAUCCCGAGAAAGUGAACGUGGUAAAAGACUGGAAGGAACCCACUGAUCUCAAGUCUUUGAAGUCCUUCCUUGGUUUCUGUGGCUACUAUCGGAGAUUCAUUGCGAACUACUCCAGCAUUGUUCGCCCACUGACUGAACUUACAAAGGGCUACCCCCCAGCUCAGAAAGGGAGACAAGCACAAGCCCCAGGCACCUCUAAGGUGUAUUUCAAAGCAUCUGAACCUUUUGGCGAACGGUGGGACCAGUCCUGUCGAGAUGCAUUCAGAAAAAUCAUUGACUGUCUCAUAAAUGCUCCAGUGUUAGCAUUUGCAGACCCAAGUAAACCAUACAUACUGCAUGUUGACGCCAGUAUGAGUGGUUUAGGUGCAGUGCUAUAUCAGGAACACCCAGAAGGUCUACGGCCUGUAGCAUUUGCGAGCCGAAAACUUAGCCAUUCUGAACUGCGAUACCCUGUCCAUCAGCUAGAGUUUUUAGCGCUGAAGUGGGCAGUGGUAGAUAAAUUUCAUGACUAUUUGUAUGGAGCUAAGUUUACUGUAAGAACUGAUAAUAACCCCUUAACCUAUGUGCUGUCCUCAGCCCGGCUAAAUGCCACAGGACAUCGCUGGUUAGCUGCCCUUGCUACCUAUGACUUCAGCAUCCAGUACCGUCCUGGCCGUCAGAACACUGACGCUGACUUGCUCUCCCGACAGUACGCAACUGAAGAUGUCAGAAACUGGACAGACAUCCCACCAUCAGGCAUUAAAGCAAUCUGUAGGCGAGCUUGUGUUGUUGAAACACCCAGUGUCCCUACUAGAUUGGCUGACCAACUUGGUGUCCCACCGACGGUCAUCCCUGAUGUGUAUGCUUAUCCAACGCACUUGAGCUCAGAUGCCAUUGAUCAGCUAAGCCCAAGAGAGCUUAAGUCUGCACAAGAUUUGGAUCCUGUCAUCGGUCCAGUGAAAACAGCUCUUGAAGCUGGCAAGAUGCAUGUUCAAUCUCAGAAUGAUCCCCCCGAUGUUGCUUUGCUUAGCAGAGAAAUCUCUAAGUUGGAGCUAAAAGAUGGAGUUCUAUAUAGAACCAGACAAACACCAUCAGAUAGAGAGAUAAAUCAACUUGUUUUGCCACAGCGAUACCGAAGUGUAGUACUCAGGUCACUACAUGAUGAUUGUGGACAUUUGGGAAUAGACAAAACCUCUGAGCUGCUCAGAGACAGAUUCUAUUGGCCCCGCAUGAUCGCUGAAGUUGAACAAUAUAUAAAAACAUGUGGAAGAUGUGUCUCCAGGAAGACUCUUCCCCAGCAUUCAACUCCAUUGAAUCAGAUCACUAGCAAUGGUCCCUUAGAUUUAGUGUGCAUUGACUUUUUGCAAAUAGAACCCGACAGUAGAGGGGUUGCAAAUGUGUUAGUAGUGACAGACCAUUUCACGAGAUAUGCACAGGCGUUCCCUACAAAAAAUCAAAAAGCUACUACUGUUGCAAGAGUAUUGUGGGAAAAAUACUUUGUGCAUUAUGGUCUUCCCGCAAGAAUCCAUUCGGAUCAAGGCAGAGACUUUGAGAGUCGCUUGAUAAAGGAGCUUCUCUCUAUGCUUGGCAUACGAAAGUCUCGCACAUCCCCAUAUCACCCACAAGGUGAUGCUCAACCUGAACGAUUCAACAGAACACUCUUGUCCAUGCUUGGUACGCUGGACACAGCAAACAAAAGGAACUGGAGUCAAUACAUCAGUCAUCUAGUGCAUGCAUAUAAUUGCACAAAAAAUGAUGCCACAGGACAUUCUCCCUACUUUUUAAUGUUUGGACGUGAAGCAAGACUUCCAGUUGACAUUUGUUUUGGCACAGUUGUGGAUGGGACAAGUGAAGUGUCACAUCUUAAGUAUGUCAAACAGAUGAGACAAGAUCUGCAACAGGCUUACAAACUAGCAAUGGAAGCCGCAACCAAAAAUCACAUGAGAAACAAGUCUCGUUAUGAUCAACAUGUUCGAGAUCAACCAUUGGCAGAGGGUGACAGAGUGUUGUUAAGAAACCUUGGCCUGAAGGGGAAACACAAACUUCAAGAUCGUUGGAGAUCUACUCCCUAUGUGGUAGUGAAGAAGUUGCCCAAUCUACCUGUUUAUCAAGUGAAGCCAGAACAAGGCUCUGGAGUCAUUAAAACCCUCCAUAGAGAUCAUCUCUUGCCAAUUGGUUACCUGGUCAGAAUGCCACAUUCAGUGGAAAACGAGAAAAAAGUCACAAAACCAGCAGUCACAAGGCUGCAGAGUGUAAGGAAAACCCCCAAACAGUCUUCGUUGUCUGAGCAAGUAACCAGCGACUCUGCUUCAUCAGACUUGGAAUUUGAAGGUGUGCGUGAGUACUCAUCCUUGGAUAUGGAUGAGGUGAAACAACAGCUUUUGCACACCCACCAUCUGGAGAAACCAUACCCAAGUUCUGUUGAUGAGAGUUCACAGGUGUCAGACAGUGAGCAAAGUGAAACUGACCCAGUUAGACAAAGAGAGGAGUUGUCGGAUGACACUAGCUCUCAAGAAUCGGAAGAUGAAGAGUUGCAGUCCCAGCCUACAGAAACUGAGAUGACGCAGGAAUCUCCUUCUGUUUCGAAAAGAGCUGUGAAAUGCAAAGAGACACCAGUAGUUAGGAAAUCUCAGCGCGAAGUUAAGCCAGUCAUACGCUUGACUUAUGAUGAACCUGGACAUCCUACUGAGGAACCUGUAACCAUUGUGCAUCAUGGGAUGGUUAUUCAGUUGAACCUUGGUUCACAGGGCGAAGGUAUUAAUCCAUUCAGAGAGUCUACACCUUUCAAGAGAUCAUCAAAACAAGAAAGGAAACCCUUAACUACCUCAGGCAGAAGAGCCAGGGUUAGAUGAGGACAUCUACCUUUUUAGAAGAGGGAGGGUGUAGCCCAGUCCAUAAUGAUUAUGGGCAUGAGUAAAUAGUUUUAAAAUGUUCAAAUAACUAAUAGUUCAUGUACAGUUUUUAUAAAGUUCAUAAGUGAGUUGUGUUAAAACAAUAGUGGACCAAAUCAUUUUGUUUGUUAAUAAAGUAGUAUGUCACUUUAAUUAGUUUCACUGCACUUUCACGCAUUUUGUGUUGUGUACAACCUAUCCUCACUGAGCAUCAGAAUGUCAGUCUUGACUUGUGUUUAUUUGUAUUGGUUGUUUGUGACCUAUGUAACCAAUCAAGGGAUUGUGGGGGCGGGAUGUGAGGUUGACCUAGUAGAGGGCAGGUGCGCGAGAGGUACAGAGAUGCCACAGACGUACAUCAAACGUGUGUGUUGACCGCUGAUCGUAUCGGAGUAUAAGUGCCUUUCAUCGUGGUGAAUGCAGAGUUUGCCAUUCUGUGUUAAGGACUUUGAAACAUCCGAAGGACCAGGAGACUAUCCUUGGACUUUUUUUUCCCCCUUGCUACGUGACGGAGCAUAGAAGUAUCCAGGAGUCGCCAUCUUGCUUGGAUUUUGUGUCGGAGACCGAAGCCGUUGCCGGACGCCCUCGUUGCCCUCACGAAUGAUUCCCUAAAGGUUACCAGCGACUAACAUUAACCAGGUUGCUGACUGACUGACUGCUCGAGGUUGUGAGUACUCAAAUUGCACGUGCUUAUUAUUUUAUUGUUUUGUUCUGCUUGCUUUGCAAGCGAAAGGGUCAUAAAGUUUCUGACCACACCGCACCCCAGCGUCGACACAGGCCUGCACCGUUUGUUUUAUUUUAUUUUAAAGGACUGAUAUUGAGUUGCAGCUUGAGUGUGUGAGUGUGUGUGUGAGCUGCAGGACUAUUGUUUUCACAAGUAAUUUGAUUUAUUUACAGGUGUUUUGAAGAGACCCUAAUUGAAGUAAUUAUUUUGUACUCUUAUUGUGUUUAUUUGAAGUUGCAAAUAUUAAUUUUGAUUACUAAAUUCUAUAUUUUUGAGGUUAAGAAUCCUGUGUGUGUUAUUUCUUUCGUGUAAGGAUUUUCCCCUGUUUAUUAAAUUUGAACCAGAGAAACGUGUUUCAACACUGGAUGAUAACAAUUCUUAGUAGGAUUAAAGGCCAAAGGGUUGUAUUCUGCUAAGUGGAGGCACCAAUCACCAAAUUUCUUAUCAAUACAGGUUAGUACGGAAGCCAAUAAAUUAAAGAACCCAGGGCCCCGCCCAUAGUACUACAAUACCCCUGUCUUUAAAUGAUGUUUACCUAUUAGCUACAUGGG